GAUAUAAUAUAUAUACAAACAUAUCUAGAAAUAUAGAAUAUUUGAAAUUGAAGCAAAGGGGAAGAUGAUGGAGAAAGAAACAACAGCCAAGACAAGCACUUGGAUAUGAAGAGAAGAAGAAAAAAAAGAACAAAAGAAAAUGUAAUGGGGACCUUCACACAUGGGUGUUAGAAAGAGAAGUAUAUAGUGGAGCCAACACCAAAGCUCAUCUUAAGAAUCUUUUUUAGCAAAAUGUUGGUUGCAAC
This 245-nucleotide long non-coding RNA is filed under the name Capsella rubella. RNAcentral describes it as "long non-coding RNA (CRUB_LNC002561)". Lineage: Eukaryota; Viridiplantae; Streptophyta; Magnoliopsida; Brassicales; Brassicaceae. The record is from RNAcentral.